AUAAAGGCCUUUUUAAAGGCCAUAGAGCCAGCAAUUUGAAAGGCAA
Candidatus Desulfofervidus auxilii is the source of this 46-nucleotide non-coding RNA. NCBI's taxonomy places the organism in Bacteria, Pseudomonadati, Thermodesulfobacteriota, Candidatus Desulfofervidia, Candidatus Desulfofervidales, Candidatus Desulfofervidaceae. The record is from Rfam.